This 232-nucleotide ribosomal RNA is filed under the name uncultured bacterium. RNAcentral describes it as "partial 16S ribosomal RNA". It matches the Rfam family "Bacterial small subunit ribosomal RNA", at positions 29 to 239 of the family's 1533-position model. The record is from RNAcentral.
AACGAACGUUGGCGGCGUGGAUUAGGCAUGCAAGUCGUACGCGAAAGAGGGGGCAACUCCUCGAGUAAAGUAGGCGAACGGGUGAGUAACGCGUAGGAAACCUGCCUUCGAGAGUGGGGAUAACACUCCUAACGGGUGGCUAAUACCGAAUGACACUGCGGGAUCGCAUGGUUCGUGCAGCCAAAGGUGGCCUCUGCUUGCAAGCUACCACUCAAAGACGGUCCUGCGUCCC